UGGCCGUCCCACUCUGACAUCUCAGAUUC
This 29-nucleotide non-coding RNA is filed under the name Mus musculus (house mouse). Lineage: Eukaryota; Metazoa; Chordata; Mammalia; Rodentia; Muridae. The record is from RNAcentral.